This 333-nucleotide long non-coding RNA is filed under the name Chinchilla lanigera (long-tailed chinchilla). Its description in RNAcentral is "lncRNA (ENSCLAG00000025796.1)". The record is from RNAcentral. Lineage: Eukaryota; Metazoa; Chordata; Mammalia; Rodentia; Chinchillidae.
UGCAAAUCCAGUGCUGGAUUUUGUUUAUUCACAUUGGACUCUUGAGUUGGAGGAAGUCAUCAUGAUUACAGGGGAGCAUUUACACCAUCCACAAGACUCUUGAUGUGUUAAUUUGUAUUUUAAGCAGGCAUUUCCUGAGUUAUCCAUUGUAAAUCUGACUCCCCCUGAAGUUAAUCUGUUUACUAGGUCAGCAAGCUAUAAACUAGCAUUGAUACCAACAAAUCUCCGGUCAGCCUUCUCAGUCUCUUCCCAGGUAGGACUUUUAAAGUAACAUGACUGUAGCAUCAGAAGUGUUAGGAAUUUCAAAUGGAAUCCUCAUUUAUUGCAGAUAAG